Zootoca vivipara (common lizard) is the source of this 979-nucleotide long non-coding RNA. RefSeq lists it as uncharacterized. Lineage: Eukaryota; Metazoa; Chordata; Lepidosauria; Squamata; Lacertidae. The record is from RefSeq and is a predicted model, not a curated record.
CCAAACCCACCUCUCACAAAACUGCCAUUGCCCAGCAAUCCCUGCUUUUACGUCUGUGGUGAACCACCGUCUUUGUUAAUUUGACAAUAAAAUGUGACAGGGCGUCUGUUUUUGUUUUUUAAAGUGGACUUUGUUGCUUGGCUGUGAAGGCUUAGCAAGCAACAAAACUGGCGAUAAAGAGGGAAAGGGGACCCAGGGAAGUUCCUGCAUUUUCUCAGCAAGUGUUUCAGGGCUUCCUUUCCACAACGUAACUCCCUCGACUUUCUGAGUCACAACCUACCGGGAUCACAGCUAUGAGGAGCGACUCAGAAAAUGGACCAGGGCAGCUGGGAAGGCAGUGAGAAAGAAAGAGAAAAUGUCACCUGAAAGAGCCCUAAGAAUCAGCUCAAGGCAACAGCUGAGAUUGGCAAUGCUUUUUAUGGGGGCAAAACUCUGAAACCUCAUAACGUUGAAUCAUCCAUUGACAAGUCCUAGCAACAGCACCGCAUGAAAACUAUCGGCAACCGGCUUUACUUCCUGCAACCCCUCUCCCUCCAAGAUGGCAAGAAUAUCAGCUUCAGAGACAUUGAAAAGACACAAGGCUGCAUAGGGUACACAGCGUGGGACAGUGAAAUCUUGAAGAGGAAAGUUGCCUGCACUUGUUCCACCAACUGGGUAAACCCUGGCAGCCAGACUGGAAUACCAUAGAGCAACUGAGGUAUAAUUUUGGCGUUGAAGACCUUAAGGGCAGAAGGGAUAUGCGGAUUACCUCUUGUUAUGAAAAAACGCAUCAUGGCCUGCAUAGACAUCUUACUGGCAUUCACCACCAUUGCAUAGUGCGUGGACCAGAGAAGCCUAUGAUGGAAUGUAAUUCCCAGAUACAGAAUGGCAAUGUCUCCCACCUGAGAGGUUCCAGCUGAAAGAAAGUCCUGCUUGCAACCUUUCAGAGCUCAGAAAUCAGUGUGCUUUUGUUGUUGUUUAGUCGUGUCCGACUCUUCGU